Molecule: ribosomal RNA, 497 nt
Filed under: uncultured bacterium
Lineage: Bacteria
Description: partial 16S ribosomal RNA
Rfam family: Bacterial small subunit ribosomal RNA
Source: RNAcentral
GAUGAACGCUGGCGGCGUGCCUAAUACAUGCAAGUCGAGCGAACAGACGAGGAGCUUGCUCCUCUGACGUUAGCGGCGGACGGGUGAGUAACACGUGGAUAACCUACCUAUAAGACUGGGAUAACUUCGGGAAACCGGAGCUAAUACCGGAUAAUAUAUUGAACCGCAUGGUUCAAUAGUGAAAGACGGUUUUGCUGUCACUUAUAGAUGGAUCCGCGCCGCAUUAGCUAGUUGGUAAGGUAACGGCUUACCAAGGCGACGAUGCGUAGCCGACCUGAGAGGGUGAUCGGCCACACUGGAACUGAGACACGGUCCAGACUCCUACGGGAGGCAGCAGUAGGGAAUCUUCCGCAAUGGGCGAAAGCCUGACGGAGCAACGCCGCGUGAGUGAUGAAGGUCUUCGGAUCGUAAAACUCUGUUAUUAGGGAAGAACAAAUGUGUAAGUAACUAUGCACGUCUUGACGGUAGCUAAUCAGAAAGCCACGGCUAACUACGUG